Molecule: ribosomal RNA, 556 nt
Filed under: Nectophryne batesii (Bates' tree toad)
Lineage: Eukaryota; Metazoa; Chordata; Amphibia; Anura; Bufonidae
Also listed under: 1 other name
Description: partial large subunit ribosomal RNA
Rfam family: Bacterial large subunit ribosomal RNA
Source: RNAcentral
CGCCUCUUGAAUACACAUAAGAGGUCCUGCCUGCCCAGUGACCACAUUCAACGGCCGCGGUAUCCUAACCGUGCAAAGGUAGCGUAAUCACUUGUUCUUUAAAUAUGGACUAGUAUGAACGGCCCCACGAGAGCUUAACUGUCUCCUUUCUCUAAUCAGUGAAACUAAUCUCCCCGUGAAGAAGCGAGGAUAAAUCUAUAAGACGAGAAGACCCUAUGGAGCUUUAAACAACACAUCAUUUACCAUUAAAAUUUAUAUAACUAAAUUAUUGGACAACAUGACUGUACGUUUUUGGUUGGGGUGACCACGGAGUAAAACAUAACCUCCACGCUGAGUGAUACUUUAAGCCAAGAACAACCUAUCUAAGAAUUAUUAUAAUAACACCCAUUGACCCAAUAUACUUGAGCAACGAACCAAGUUACCCUAGGGAUAACAGCGCAAUCUACUUCAAGAGCCCCUAUCGACAAGUGGGUUUACGACCUCGAUGUUGGAUCAGGGUAUCCUAGUGGUGCAGCCGCUACUAAAGGCUCGUUUGUUCAACGAUUAAAACCCUACG